AAGGAGUCGUCUUCGUAUGCGAGUGUUCGGGUGUAAAACCCCUACGCGUAAUGAAAGUGAACGCAGGUGAGAGCUUCGGCGCAUCCCCGACCGAUCCUGAUGUUCUCGGAUGGAUUUGAGUAAGAGCAUACGUGUCCGGACCCGAAAGAUGGUGAACUAUGCCUGUAUAGGGUGAAGCCAGAGGAAACUCUGGUGGAGGCUCGCAGCGGUUCUGACGUGCAAAUCGAUCGUCAAAUAUGGGCAUAGGGGCGAAAGACUAAUCGAACCUUCUAGUAGCUGGUUUCCGC
Molecule: unclassified non-coding RNA, 287 nt
Filed under: uncultured fungus
Lineage: Eukaryota; Fungi
Description: partial contains 5.8S rRNA, ITS2 and 28S rRNA
Rfam family: Eukaryotic large subunit ribosomal RNA
Source: RNAcentral